CCACCUGACCCCAUGCCGAACUCAGAAGUGAAACGCCGUAGCGCCGAUGGUAGUGUGGGGUCUCCCCAUGCGAGAGUAGGGAGCUGCCAGGC
This 92-nucleotide ribosomal RNA is filed under the name Escherichia coli. The record is from RNAcentral. Lineage: Bacteria; Pseudomonadati; Pseudomonadota; Gammaproteobacteria; Enterobacterales; Enterobacteriaceae.